Molecule: transfer RNA, 72 nt
Filed under: Stomaphis sinisalicis
Lineage: Eukaryota; Metazoa; Arthropoda; Insecta; Hemiptera; Aphididae
Description: tRNA-Lys
Source: RNAcentral
CAUUAGAUGACUGAAAGCAAAGUAAUGAUCUCUUAAAUCAAUAAAUAGUAAAUUAGCAAUUACUUCUAAUGA